GCGGGCAGAACUCAGUGGUGGAGCGCGUGCUUCGCGGGCAGGAGGUCCUGGGUUCCAUCCCCAGUGCCUCCA
RNAcentral lists this transfer RNA (72 nucleotides) under Camelus bactrianus (Bactrian camel). It matches the Rfam family "tRNA". Rfam says of the family: Transfer RNA (tRNA) molecules are approximately 80 nucleotides in length. Their secondary structure includes four short double-helical elements and three loops (D, anti-codon, and T loops). RNAcentral also lists the same sequence under 2 other names. The record is from Rfam by way of RNAcentral. Lineage: Eukaryota; Metazoa; Chordata; Mammalia; Artiodactyla; Camelidae.